This is a long non-coding RNA of Sycon ciliatum, 1134 nucleotides long. RefSeq lists it as uncharacterized. NCBI's taxonomy places the organism in Eukaryota, Metazoa, Porifera, Calcarea, Leucosolenida, Sycettidae. The transcript has 2 exons. The record is from RefSeq and is a predicted model, not a curated record.
CCUUAUUAUACUGGGUUCGAGCACGGGGGCAACCUCACUCGCGAUCGAGCUAGUUUUUGAACGUGACAGCAUCUUUGACAGUGUGUUUCAGGUUUGUUUUGGAAUGUCUUCUGCUUAGUUCAAGUGGUUUGCGAUGGCUUCGAGCGGUGCUGAACCUCCUGCUGGUAGGAGCAGAGUCUUCGAGAGAGACAUGGACUGUGAUGCAGCUGCAGGAUUUUUUCAAGGCGCGGGAGAGAACGAUCUCGGGCCACAAACAGGAGUUACUCCAGAGAGCCAUCUUCUAUGAAGGUAACCGUGGUGCUGCGAAGUCACCAAGUCGCGAUCGCGAUCAGCAGCCCUGAAGUGGAAAAAUCGAUUUUCCAACGAUCUGGUUGGACAUCAGCCACUAAAGUACUUCUGAUUUGCCUGUAGUGACAACAGCAGCCAUCCUUGGACACCUUGCAAAGACAGGAAAAGCCACUGGUGGAAGCGACUGCUAUGAGGUGACGAUAGCAGUGGUGAUCGCUGUUUUGUCAAGUCGAAGGGCUAGCCAACCCAGAGGAAGCAUAAAAAAAAAACGAUGAGCAGUGCGUGGUAUUUGUUGAGCGUGAAGAGCUAGAGGAGGACAGUGCAAACACAUGGAAGGAGUGGAUGGUGUUUGAAGUGCUGUGUGCCGGCUGGUGGUGAUGGUGGUCUUUGUAAGCAUGUAUUCGUGCUGCUUCUUGUGCUGGAACACUUCUCGCCCAGGAAGGCAGAUUGCGUGCUCCCUGGCCCGCAGUCGGCAAUGGGGCAUUUGUUCCAGGAACAUUACCCCAGAACAUUACCCCACACCAGCACAGCAAGGACACUUCCGUUGACAGAUAUUGUUUACGCCUCAAGACAGCUGUUUCGUUUCUUCGAGCUCAUCGUUAGAGGAGGAUAGUAGCAGGAUAUUAAUGAUGAUAUAAUAUAAGAUGAUAGACGGUUUAUGGUCCGAUAUUGAUGAUUGGAGAUCUAAGAAAGCAAUGACAGUGAUUGCGAAAUGGAUAAUAUUAUCAUGAUUAUAUGCCAGUCUGGUAAUGCGUUGUACUGGUGGACAGUAUUGAAAUCAUCACUGCAUUCGAUGCAAAUAUUGGUAUACCUUGGUUUCAGUAUUGGAAAAAAAGAGUAAGAGAA